Plutella xylostella (diamondback moth) is the source of this 1286-nucleotide long non-coding RNA. RefSeq lists it as uncharacterized. NCBI's taxonomy places the organism in Eukaryota, Metazoa, Arthropoda, Insecta, Lepidoptera, Plutellidae. The record is from RefSeq and is a predicted model, not a curated record.
GCAGCAAGUGAAGAAAACUAAUGCCUUAUUAUUAUGCAUGUAUUCUGUGAAGGAAAGCAGUCUCGUCUGCCAUUUGGUCACAACGGUGCAAGGAGCAGUGGACCCCUGGAUGUAAUAAACAUGCCGAUGUCUGUGGGCCAAUGGAGAUUGGAGGAUCCAGAUCCUACUGCGUGAGAGACUGCCAGUGAUACCAGGUCAGCUGUUUCUACACAACACUCAGUUCGGCUACAUUGUUGCUGGCACUGCACCAUUGAACAGCGAGGGAUGUUCAUCACUACCAAGUAACUUUUGCAACUUUCCUAUUUUUUCGGGAAUACCGCCGCUGCCCCCGGGCCAUGCCUCUAUAAUGAGAAGAUCACCUGGGUGAAGAUGACGAUGCAACAUCGCCAUGUCGAAGUACCCAGCGAAUGUGACGACAAAACUACUAAAUGGAUUUUGAUCAACAGACAACCUGGAUAGGCAACUUUUUAAAAAUCCUAGAAUCACUACCAGAAAACUUUUUAGCUCUAAGUUUUAUUUUAACAGUUACUAGAAAAUAAAACUGAGAGCAUGUUAAAUAAAACAAACCAACACCUAUCCCAAAAGAAAUGGUAGAAACAUAAUCAACAAAAUAUAUCAUACAGGUUACCAGAUAAGGCAAGUAAUAAUGAAAAAUAAUUUAUCUAUCUUUUAUCAUUGCAUGUUAUUGUUAUAAUGUAUUUCUACCUAUGGGUACAAUAGUGGGAGUAGCCUGUAUUUAUAGUUGGUGAACAAAUUGCUUGCUAAUGAUAAGGCACGGAAUUAAAAGGGACAGACAAAUAUUUAACAAGACAGAAAUUAAAACCCUAAAGAAUACGUAUGUUUAUAAAAAUGAAAACAGCUGUAUUUAUUUUAACUCUUUGGACACAUGGCGCCAUCUGUUGCCGAGUAGCGGUAAUAAUAGCGACACCUGUUGUCGAGUAGUAGUAACAAUGAGUUAGUGCAGUGAGAGUGAAGUGAACGUAACAAUUAUAUUAUUUAUAUAUAUUUUAAUAUUUAUAGGUUCUAUUUAAGUUUAGGUUUAUUAGUAGAUCACAUUUUAUUCUGUUUUAUUUAAUAAAGUAUGCUCUUACUUAAAAGAGCUAUGAUAUAAUUCAAGCUAUCGAUUUUAACUGUUAUAUUCUGAUUGAUAAAUAAUAAAUUUAGAAAUAUCAUUGUGAUUUUAAUCAUACCUACUUAUAACAAUAUAAAAUAAUUUAACAUGAUUGUGUUGAUGUAGUUUCUAAUGUGGAUUUGUAUACUUAAAAUAAAAUAAAUUUGUCUUGGCA